Molecule: long non-coding RNA, 807 nt
Organism: Poecilia latipinna (sailfin molly)
Lineage: Eukaryota; Metazoa; Chordata; Actinopteri; Cyprinodontiformes; Poeciliidae
Exons: 3
Source: RefSeq, a predicted model, not a curated record
CUUCGGUAUUUAUUUUGUUUCCUGGCUGCUAGGUGGUUGGAGUCAAAGAUCCUCGAAUGGGUGAAGAGGUCUGUGCCUGCAUCAAACUGGUGGACGGCCAGGAGUGCACAGCAGAGGAGAUCAGAGCAUACUGCAAAGGACAGAUCGCCCACUUCAAGAUUCCUCGCUACAUCCUCUUUUUGACCAGCUUCCCACUCACCGUUACUGGAAAGAUCCAGAAGCAAAAGCUACGUGAAGAGGCCGAGAAGCAGCUGAGCUGAAUCAGAGGAAAUGACAGACUUCUCUCCUGAACGGAGAGAAUUCAAUUACUGUUUCCAGUACUUAAACUGUAUAUGAAUCGUAUAGCAUAAACUACAAUUUGGAUUAAGCCAACCGGCCAUCAGAACAAGAUAAAAUGUCUGGAGAAGAUUCUCUGGCAGACGGUGUAAUCCGUAAGCAGACCAGCAAUGGGCAGGGAUCUUUAAACUGUGAUUAGUGGGUCAGGUAUUUAAGCUCUUACAAGAAAAAGGCAUCAAUCCACUUACGACAAGGGCGCAAUUUACUCUGCAAACAUGUACAGACUCAGAUCCAGGUUGAAAGCGGCACAGGAAUCAAGACGGAACAUAAAAUGUGAUUUUAGCACUCAAAUGUGAUUCCAUUUUCUUUUUAACAGUUCUACUCUGACCGUCCUGUGAGGCUGAUGUGUGCGGACACCUUGUUGGUCUGCUCAGUUUUUACCCAGCAGCUACAAAACUUCCAUUUUUUUUAAUUAUUGUUAUUAUUAUAAUUAUCUUUAAUCUCAACUUGAAAUAAACUCCAUUAAAGCCA